UUAAUCACAAGUUCAUCAAUCUUUAUUACAAAGAAUUAAAAGAACAUAAUAUUUUAUAAUAGACUCUGUGGUUUUCUAUUUACAUAUGGUCUUGAUAAAAUUACCAAAAGAUCAAGUCUACAAACUUAGUGUUCAAUAAAAAACAAACACAAAUCAAAUGUAUUAGCCUCAGAUCCAGGGAUUUUUUUUAUAGGGGUACCAGGAGGUUUUAGCCUUAAAGUUAAACAUGUCAAUUUAAACCCCUUGCCAAUUCUAAGAUUUUAAUUAUAUUCCAGAUUCUCAUAAAAAUGAC
Molecule: long non-coding RNA, 292 nt
Filed under: Mytilus galloprovincialis (Mediterranean mussel)
Lineage: Eukaryota; Metazoa; Mollusca; Bivalvia; Mytilida; Mytilidae
Source: RNAcentral